Molecule: ribosomal RNA, 460 nt
Filed under: uncultured bacterium
Lineage: Bacteria
Description: partial 16S ribosomal RNA
Rfam family: Bacterial small subunit ribosomal RNA
Source: RNAcentral
CCUACGGGGGGCUGCAGUGAGGAAUAUUGGUCAAUGGGCGAGAGCCUGAACCAGCCAAGUCGCGUGAGGGAAGACGGUCCUAUGGAUUGUAAACCUCUUUUGCCGGGGAGCAAAAAGCGGUACGUGUACCGCAUCGAGAGUACCCGGUGAAAAAGCAUCGGCUAACUCCGUGCCAGCAGCCGCGGUAAUACGGAGGAUCCGAGCGUUAUCCGGAUUUAUUGGGGUUAAAGGGUGCGGCGUGGGGCGGUUAAGUCAGGUGUAAAAGUUUGGGGCUCAACCCUAGCACUGCCUUUGAAACUGGCAGUCUUGAGUGGGCGAGAGGUAUGCGGAAUGCGUGGUGUAGCGGUGAAAUGCAUAGAUAUAACGAAGAACUCCGAUUGCGAAGGCAGCAUACUGGCGCCCAACUGACACUCAGGCACGAAAGUGUGGGUAUCGAACAGGAUUAGAUACCCCUGUAGUC